UAGCCGAAGUCUACACCCCUUUGUUGACGAUUGGUCAACUGUAGGGGUGGCACGAGUUUCUUUUUCUCGAUUUAGUCCGAAAACUCAGUGUGAUUCAACAUGGUGAACGACAACUUCAAGCGUUUCUUAGCCAAGGAGGGACAGAAGUAAGCAAGACAGAAAGCAACAUGCCAUCUUCACCAGAGAAUGAGGCACAAACACCAGUGAAUGGGGACAGCACCAGGUUUUGUUCUCUGCUCCCCAGCAUUGCCUCUUCACCGGCCCCCAGCACUGACUGGUCAUUAACCCCCAGCCCAUCUCCCGCACUGAGCUGCAGUGCAGAAUGGAAAACCAUCUCUAUGAAGGACCUGGGAAACCCUAUCCUGGGCCCACCUCCAAUACCUACUCCACUGGCUUGCUCCUCACCAAUGCCACAGAGCAGCAGCAGUAGUAGCAGGACUGUGAGAAGAAGGGAGAAAAGAGCUGCAGACUCAGACACAUCACCCGUAAAGGCGUUGCAAAGACCGAUCUCAAGAUCUGGAGAACGUCAUGCAUUGAGCCACCCAGAGGGCCCUGGCACCUAUAGCUGAUUUCAUGGAUGAACUAUUGACAAAACUCGGGUUGGAAUUCGAUCACCAGCUGCAUGAAUUUGUGCAUGACUUCAAGAAGACAUGGACCGAACGACUGGGACCACAGUGAAAUGAACAAUUGGUUCUUGUUGUUCAGACAUCUCAGGAGUCAGACUCUAGACAAUUUUAUUCCAUAGACACUUGUCUUGUUGUUUGCGUGUCUGUUUUUCACAGACACAUUUGUACUAUUCUUCAAAUAAUUCAUUUGUCUGACACUUUAAUGAUAUUUAAUUGAUGUGUUGUUUACAUGUCUGUUCUUAGCAGACACUGUUGUAUUGUGGUUUACUUUCAGAGCCCAGAUGCAAGAAUAAGGUUUAUUUUUUUGUGUGCUGAAAAAGCUCUUUCUUCAUCUCGAUACAAGGUGUUUCAAUGCAUUCUAUUUGAUAAUCAAGUACUGACAAUGUUGAGAAGAGCUGUGUGCUGUAGAGCUGUGUGGUGUAGUUCAAUCUAAAUUAACACACACAGACAUCAUAAAAAUUUGGUUUCAAUUCAUUAACAAGAUUAAAACUACA
Molecule: long non-coding RNA, 1120 nt
Organism: Oncorhynchus masou masou (cherry salmon)
Lineage: Eukaryota; Metazoa; Chordata; Actinopteri; Salmoniformes; Salmonidae
Exons: 3
Source: RefSeq, a predicted model, not a curated record